GAUGGGUGUCGCCGCCCAAUCAAAUUUGAUUGCAUAUAAGGAAUGCAGUAUAGCUAGGAAGUGACUCCUAGGUCGUCUCUCAAGGACCAAAUGGGGUUCAGGAAUUAGGUCUAACACGUAGUGGGGGGGUUUGUGAAAAGUGUUUUGAAUACAAAUNACUAAAUUAGAAUGGAAAUUAAACACAACCGGACAUAAUUGAAAGCAUUUAAGUAAAUGAAAACAUUAAACCNAACAGUCUUAAAGCAACGUGUUUGAACUAAUUAAAAUGCAGCAAGUAAAUAAAGAAACACAUGGUGUGAUAUUUAAAUGCAACAUUUAAACUAAAAAAAAAUAAAAAUAAAAUGUUAUUCAUCAUAGAAUCAACACUUAAAAAGAAAAAGNAUAACCAAGAAGAUAAAAUAAAAAUUGCUUAAACUGUAAAAUCUCUUUUCUAAAUAGGACAAUAAAAUUCUCUUCUCUCGGAACAACGUGCCCUGCAACUAAUCAAUGANCUCCACACUUCCUCCUUCAAAGGGAAAUAAAUGUGCUUGUAGAAAAGUUUAAUUCCAAAUGGAAAGGAAAUCUCCAUAUGUGCACCUUAUACCAUGACAGCAUUGUUUUCUCCAUUUAAAAAAAUAAAACGCUGCACCCUAAAUUCACGUGACUUUCUUGAAUGAUUUGAUAAAGGAAUUGCANCACUUUUACAAAGAUUAAGAAAAAGAAAAAAAAUAAAUAAAAGGCAAGGAAAAAUAAAAGGCAAGAAAAAUAAAGAUAAGGAAAAUGUUAUUCUCUCCUUCAACAAUAUUCCAUCACCGUCAACAUCAUAUGCCAAUGAAAUUAACAAUUUGAAAUUAAUGUAACCAUGUGCACCAGCAAAAAGGAAUUAACUGUGAGCUCCUUCAUCCAUAGUCAAACAAGGCAAUUAGAAGUUCCAUAAAAGAAAUACGUUCCAGCAGCAAAACUCUCCCCCCUCGUUCCCGUUGCAGCAACUCCUUUCUUUUCUUUUGUAUGNGACGGCUGCUGCUUCCAAUCCCUAGGGCAUGAGUCACUAUAUAAAAAUAGGAUGGGGUCCACCCAAUAACCCUAGGGUAUGACAUGUGUCUAUUUUUUACUAUUGGGCUCAACAACAAUUACCAAAAAUUGGCCCACAAUGUCAAAGUUUGUCUAAAAAUUCUAAACUACUAAAUUAAAAUACAACUAAUUCUAAAANGCUUAUGGAAGAGUCUUGAUUUAUUUUAUCUUCAUCCUGAUGCUCCAAAAUAUAUCUCCAAAAUUUUCC
RNAcentral lists this long non-coding RNA (1258 nucleotides) under Vigna radiata. RNAcentral's name for it is "long non-coding RNA (VRAD_LNC013842)". The record is from RNAcentral. Lineage: Eukaryota; Viridiplantae; Streptophyta; Magnoliopsida; Fabales; Fabaceae.